This 102-nucleotide non-coding RNA is filed under the name uncultured Geminigera. The record is from RNAcentral. Lineage: Eukaryota; Cryptophyceae; Pyrenomonadales; Geminigeraceae.
UCCAAAAAAAAAAAUAGACGCCAUCAAACCCAGAAAUAAACAAUGAUUGGGAAAGAAAGAAACAAGGUGGCACACAAAAUGUGUUUGUCUUGUGUGUUUCCA